CCCGCUUUAGGUUUAUUUUUUUUUUCCAUUCCAAGUGCAGCUGUGCAAGUUACAAAUGAUUUAUUAAAGUAAAUGAGUAAACAUGGUGUCAAAGGAAAUUACAAAUAAGGAUAGGCCGGAUUUUGAUGGAAAUAGUGGGGGAGGUGGCAAAAAUGUUAGGGGGGGGGAAGGUGGGGUGGUGCAGUGGUUUAGCUCUCGACCCCCAUGGAAAGUCAGGGCUUAGAACGGGCCAAAGUCAACGACGUGACGUAUGCAUGUAGUGCACACAUGCAUAUGUAUCAGUGUUGAUAUGAAUUAUGACUGUAUAUAACUCAUUCAAUUGUGCCCUUCAUUAUAUUACACAGAGAUGAAUGGCUAUCACUGUCUCAAUUUUACAGGAAAACGUUCUUACGAAGUGUAGACCCUAAGUCAAAUUUUCACUUUGAUCUAUCAUUGAAACUUUCCCAAGGGGAGGUGUAUGACUUUUCAGGAGAGGUGCAAAAAUUCUCAGAGGAGGCCCCACACCUCUCCUCAAAAUCCGGCCAUGCCCGGGAUCCUAAAUUUACCUUUUUCAAAUGUUCCUCAAAAGUGCGUAAAAACAAUGGAUCAUUAAAUUUGACCGUACAUGACGCCAAUAUGCAUGCAACAAGAAUACAAUAAUUUUAUUUAUACAGGGUAAUUCAGUGUAGAAACACUGGUAUAGCAAUGGAAGCCCUGCAUGUAAAUAAUAAUAAACUAAGUGUCCAUUAUAUAUAUUAACGUUACAUGUCUGAAAUGACAAAUAAGGAAGUAUGAUAUAUUGAUUCCUUAAACUACUUAUUAAGUGAAAUGUACACAGAUUAGAAGUUCAGAAUUUUGAAUUACUGAGACGAUAAACGAUCUUU
This is a non-coding RNA of Paramuricea clavata, 863 nucleotides long. Lineage: Eukaryota; Metazoa; Cnidaria; Anthozoa; Malacalcyonacea; Plexauridae. The record is from the annotation of a GenBank genome assembly.